GCCUCUGUAGCUCAGUUGGUUAGAGUGCUGCUCCGGAAUCGCAGGGCCGUAGGUUCAAUUAAUUCCUACCAGGGGAC
This is a non-coding RNA of Paramuricea clavata, 77 nucleotides long. Lineage: Eukaryota; Metazoa; Cnidaria; Anthozoa; Malacalcyonacea; Plexauridae. The record is from the annotation of a GenBank genome assembly.